Molecule: long non-coding RNA, 3701 nt
Filed under: Pan troglodytes (chimpanzee)
Lineage: Eukaryota; Metazoa; Chordata; Mammalia; Primates; Hominidae
Description: long non-coding RNA NONPTRT010342
Source: RNAcentral
ACGCAGCCCAGCUCUGGCACUGGGCCCUGAACAGAGUCAGCCACCAAACUUUUGGAAAAGCUUGUCACUUCCUGAUAAAAACAGACAGAUGCAGCUGACACCAACUCCCCCUCCUCUCUCACUGCCUUCAACACAGAUGUGGUGCAGCUGUGGCCAGCCCUUUUGCAUGAUGGGGCAACAGAAAAAAUGCUGAGGAUGGCAGAGCAGAAAGAAGAGAGAACCUGGCUCUCAGUAACAUCCCAAGCCGCUGCACCAGCGCCUGGAAGCAAGUACCUACCUUCAGUGCCUUGCUAUUAAGGAAACAGAAAGCUGUUUAAGUCCUUGUUAGGUGUUUGCAGAUGCAAUCAAGAGAAGAUGGGAUCAACAGGGUUGGCCCUAAUCCAACACGACUGAUGUCCUUGUGAGAAGAGAUGCACCCCCAGCGCAGAGACAGAGAAGACAGCCACAUGAAGAUGCAGGCAGAUAUUAGAGAGAAUCAUCUACCUGUAUUCUGCGCAUUGAACCUGCCCUUUACCUGCGGCUUGCCCACUCAGAUCCUGAGGUUCCUGCCUGCUUCUGUCCUUGGAUAAAUGGGAACUCUUACUCUCAUAUCUGGCCACUUUCACCCCUACACAUGGUAACAAGAAGGAAGUAAAGAGAGCAACUGGAGGGGAAGGAGGAGGACAGAAGCUGAAACACAGAUGGUUUCUUAGGGUCUCACGAUGGAUUAAAUAAAGAGAUUUCUUUUUCUUUUUCCUAAUACACCUGGCCCUAUCCACCACUCUGCCGGCCACCAAUGACCAGACUGGCUCAGUUUUCAGGGCCUUGGAUAGUGCUUCAUUGAGACAAGAAGAAGAGAGAAGGACCUGCAAUCUGUGAGUGAGAUCUGUGAGCAUACAGCCAGCCCCAUCCCAUCCACACUAGGGAUUACAAUCACUUACUUCUGCCAAGUGAUUAGAAGGAAAUGCAAGUGUUUUAGUCAAGAGAGUUCAGAUCUAAGGUGCCAACUCAGAAAGUCUCCUGGAAGCUUUUUGGAUGCCACUGCCCUAGACUACAAAGCUCCAGUGCAUACGCUAUCAAAAUUCGCCAUGUGGCAAUCGGGUUCGCCAGAAAACUCACAGAAGGACCCAGGUGCUUCCUGACAUUCUCCAUCCGUCAAGGAGCCAGCCCCAAGGUCUCUGGAAGCCCGCACCCUUCCCAAAGCAAAGGCUCCCUUGGAGCACACAGCCUGUGUUAUGCUUGUGAGCGCACAACUGGCACCACAGACCACGGGCACGUAAGUUACUCAGAAAACGGAUUCCUCAGAGACAGAGAACACAGUGAACACAAAGGAUGGCUCCUCACACACUUCACAGCACACUUAGCAGCUGCACUGCUUCAACUCCUAUACAGGAAGAACCACAAGAAUCUAUGGCCCUGGGGCCCUACCUGGCAAGUUCCUCCAAGGCACUGGCGAAAGCAUCCCAGUGUUUUAUGAGAGGCCCGCACUCGCAAGGGAGAUGGAGGCCCCUCCUCUGCUGCUCCUGAGGGUUCAUCCAACAGCCCUGUCUCCUCAGCAUCCUCCAGAACAAAUCCUGCCUGUCCUGGGUCUUUGCCCUGCUCUGGGACAGCUCAGAGCACCCCCUUCUCUACACUCCCCAGCUCUCCAAAGCCCACCUAUGCUGACUCCCAUUUCCACAAUCGCUUCCUCACCAGACUCCCAGGACACGCGCUCGGAUGGGCACAUUCAGGAGCUUGGUCCUAACCAUUCCACAUGAUGCAUCUCCCUUCACAUCACAGGCAAAGGCCACGUCCUAUAUGCUUCCCGUGCAUCGCACAGUGCCUCGGGCCCCCCAGCAACACAGCCAUGGAAGUCUCGCCAGCUGUUACUCUGGAUCUCACUUACGUGGUGUCUACACAACCACGGUACCCAGGAUUCUCUCUCUGCAUUCCAGGCCACCAGGCUACAUUCUACCAUCCUCACUCUUAAACCCAAGCCAAUAUUCCCAUCUGACUUCUCAGGGUCUUAAGGUGUAUUGUUCUGUGACCUGACCUAAAGAGAGAACCUGGUUUACUCGGAUCAUGAUGGAAUACAGAAUUUACACUCGAAUUCCAUUUCUUCAUUCAUAAUCUGUUCCAGGCUUCCCUCUUGAACCAGGUUUCUCUAUCUUGUAUUCAAUCACUUAACAACAAUCCAUUCAGAAAGAGCAUGAUAGGCACUGAGAGAAUGUAAAAAUGAGUAAGUUCCUACCUGUGCAGAGAUUAUAAUUUAGCAGAGGAAAUAGGAUGGUUACAUAAAUCACUAAAAUUGGAUUAGAGAGUUUUAAACGCAACUACAGGUUCUGAAAAAAAAAAAAAAAAGUUGCUAUGGAAGCACCUGGUGGGGAAAACAUUUGUGCCUGGGAAGACGAGAGAGAACGCAGGCACCUGGACCUGCAGGACCUGGCCUGGACCCUGGAGCUUUAACUCCGUCCCAGUUCUGCUCCGUGUGGCUCCAUCUUCUCAUCUGUGCAAUGCCAGUGUCAGAGAAGAACAUCUCCACAGUCACCCACAUUGGCAAUUUUACAGCUGGAAGGAAAGGCAGCAUUUGUGAUGAGCCUUCAAGAAGCAUUAGGAAGCUGGCACAUGGAUGGUGGGAGAGCGUCCCAGGGCACACGUCAGCAGCUGCUGAGAUCAGCCCUGGAAAGACAGGCUGGAGCCAAGACAGGAAGAGGCUUGAACACUCAACCCGCGGGCUCACAGGUAACUUGGGCAACGAGCAUGGCUGGAGGUCUCUGAAUAGAGAAGUGUUAACAGACACCGACAGGCUUAACACACAAGCUUCCCAAGAAAGUUAACCAAAAAAAAGGCGUGCAUUGAUUCCAGCUUCAGCGCAUUUCCAUUUCAGUGAAUGUUUGAACUUGAGGAGAGAGUCCCUUCAUGCAGACAUCUGAGUAUUUCUGUGGAGGGAACACUUCCUACCACCCAAAUGGGGACAUGAGGAAGCACUGCUGCCUCCCUGGCAGGCCCCCUUUCAUUCAGAGGAUAUGGGCAGACCUCACUGAAGAGGCUGUAGCAGGGGUCGAGCAGGUGGUGCAGACAUCAGAGAGUUCACUCUAGAAUGCUGGAAACUCGCAGAGGAGGCUGCAGACCAGUCAGCGAUGGAGGGUGCACAGAGGGGACUCCUGCAACCCACCAGAUCACCAGCCAGGUGGCACACCCUGGAGUCUGAGACACACUAUGAAAAAGCAGGAGGCCGGGCGUGGUGGCUCACGCCUGUAAUCCCAGCGCCUUGGGAGGCCGAGGCGGGCGGAUCAUGAGAUCAGGAGAUCAACACCAUCCUGGCUAACACAGUGAAACCCCGUCUCUACUAAAAAUACAAACAAUUAUCAGGGCAUGGCGGCGGGCGCCUGUAGUCCCAGCUACUUGGGAGGCUGAGGCAGGAGAAUGGCGUGAACCCGGGAGGCGGAGCUUGCAGUGAGCUGAGAUUGCGCCACUACACUCCAGCCUGGGCGACAGAGUGAGACUCCAUCUCAAAAAAAAAAAAAAAAAAAACAAGAAAAACCGGGCGGGUCCCCUCUGCAUGGCUCGCAGGAGGCAGUCAAGCUUGCUGCAUUCUGCACUCCUCUGCCCCCCAGAGGACCUUAACACACCAUGUAUCAACAAUAAACAUGCCCUGCUCCAAAGAAUUACCUGAAAGCAGUUCUUGGGAAACCUAAAAAGUAUUCCCAGGAACACAAUGUUGUAAGAGAUGUGCACAGUCC